AUUGAACGCUGGCGGCAGGCUUAACACAUGCAAGUCGAGCGGGGUGAUGGUGCUUGCACUAUCACUUAGCGGCGGACGGGUGAGUAAUGCUUAGGAAUCUGCCUAUUAGUGGGGGACAACAUCUCGAAAGGGAUGCUAAUACCGCAUACGUCCUACGGGAGAAAGCAGGGGAUCACUUGUGACCUUGCGCUAAUAGAUGAGCCUAAGUCGGAUUAGCUAGUUGGUGGGGUAAAGGCCUACCAAGGCGACGAUCUGUAGCGGGUCUGAGAGGAUGAUCCGCCACACUGGGACUGAGACACGGCCCAGACUCCUACGGGAGGCAGCAGUGGGGAAUAUUGGACAAUGGGGGGAACCCUGAUCCAGCCAUGCCGCGUGUGUGAAGAAGGCCUUAUGGUUGUAAAGCACUUUAAGCGAGGAGGAGGCUCUUUUGGUUAAUACCCAAGAUGAGUGGACGUUACCCGCAGAAGAAGCACCGGCUAACUCCGUGCCAGCCGCCGCGGUAA
This 503-nucleotide ribosomal RNA is filed under the name uncultured bacterium. Its description in RNAcentral is "partial 16S ribosomal RNA". It matches the Rfam family "Bacterial small subunit ribosomal RNA", at positions 30 to 523 of the family's 1533-position model. The record is from RNAcentral.